CAAAGUGAAAGACUCCAAGCCCUAAUUCUUUCUAAGCCCUUCCCAUUUUCCUCUCUUUCUAAGUGACAAUGGCACCAUCUUCAUCUCUACCUCCCCUCCGGCGACCCCCUCACCAACCCUCCCACGAGCCCAACCUCCUCUCUAAACGCACCUCUUUCUAAGUGUCCAAUGUAUUUUUUUUCUAAGUACGCUGAAUGGGACGCGAGAGAUCUGGAUCUUACUGCCAGAUCCUAGUCUUUGCCAGCCCAUCCUAGUGCCAAAGCUGCAUCGAAUGGCGGUGACAUAUACUGGCAUAUACUAGCUGGAACAAUUUGUAUGGCCCAUAGAAAAAACAAAUGUAAUGAAGGUUGGAUAAGAGUUGAUAUCUGGGAUCGUUUAAUUGACAAUGUUUGGAAAACUGAAACAUGGAAAAAUCGAUCUCAAAAGUCCAUGCAAAAUAGGCAGGCACAUAGAAAAAAAUGGAAGUAUUACGUACCAUACAUACUGGUGGAUCGAUUCCUUUUUUGCUUCAUUCAAAGAGGAUGCAACACAAUUAAAUCGGAAGCCAACAUAUGGAGAAGUGUUUAAUUCCCACAAGCAUGAAAAGGGUCGUGGUGAUUAUGUUGACAGCAAGUUUAAAUCCGUGAGUGUAAGUAAAUUGGUUUCAUAAGUAUAUACUAAUUAUUAAUAUACAAUUUUUGUUUCUAAUGCAUUAAUAAUUCUUUCAUUAUCUUAAAUCUACCACUCAUAAGGAUUUUAUGUUUUUAUAAAAUCUUAUACUUCUUCAAUGAGCCAAAAAUAUGGUGUCAAUGAAUCUUGCCAUCCUGAAUUUGACCCGCAAGCUUGGUGUGAUGCAAUUGGAGGAAUAGAGACUACGCGUAAACAUGUGUAUGGAUUCAGGACCACGCCACGUGG
Molecule: long non-coding RNA, 894 nt
Organism: Dioscorea cayenensis subsp. rotundata (Guinea yam)
Lineage: Eukaryota; Viridiplantae; Streptophyta; Magnoliopsida; Dioscoreales; Dioscoreaceae
Exons: 3
Source: RefSeq, a predicted model, not a curated record